GUUUGAGCCAUCACACCCGGCCUGGCAUUUUCAAUACGAACUUGGGGCUUGGGAUGGAUAGAAAGGACAUGGAGACAUCAUUCUGCAUCACCUCCUCUGUGUUCUCUGCUCCUUGUCCUUCUAGUGGGAAAAGGGAGAGGACAAGGAAGGGACAUUCCAAAGUGACUUGAGUCCUUUGGGCCCUGGGAGUGGGAAAUUAAAGAGAUGCACUGUAACCUUUCUUCCCUACUCCCUUAGCUGAGCCCAAAUGCAAUUCUGCCUUUGGGCAAGGGUGUGUACCAGGCAGGGUAACAGUUGAGGGCAUCAAUAAUGCCACUAUAGGCAGAGGAAUGACAAAAACUAGCAUUUACCAAGCACUUACCAUGCACCGGAACACUGUAGCUUCCUAUAUAAUCCAUCUAAUAAUCAACCAAUAAUAGUAUUGCUGACUGUGAGGUCAGUACUGUGGUUACUGCAAGUAUAAAGAUGAGGACGUAGAAGAACAGAGAAAUUAAGUAACUCAUCCAAACUCUCCCGCCUGGUGAUUAGUGGAGCAAAGGAUGGCAUCUGGGCCCAGUGUUUCCACUCCUCCCCACCACUCUGAUUGCCUCUGUGGCAAACACUCUCAGUUGCCUUCCCGAUAUCCAUUAUUUUCUUCCUUAGUGUCAGGACCUUGGACAACAUGCCCAGGUGAUAAACUAGUUUCCAGUCUCCUUUGCCAUUAGAUAUAGUCAAUUAAGUGGAAACUCUUUGGCUGUUUCUCUUUUCUCCUGCUUGGAAUAUAAACAUGAUGACUGGAGCUCCAGCAGCCACUGUGAAGCCAUGGUGUGGAUGGAAGCCACGUGCUGAGGAUGGUGGAACAGAGGCAAAAAGGAUCCUGGGAGCUCUCAGAUCAGCUCUGGGCUGCCUUAUUCCGGACUCUUUCUUUUUUUUCUCAGAAAUGUCUUCAACCUAGUCAUGGAACAAGCCCUAGAGUGGGAACCCUGAAGCUGGGUUGUAGCUGUGGGGCCCUGGCAGAGCACUAGGCCUCCCUUCUUUCUGUUUCUCAGUGAGAUGAGUGGAAAGGCUGCCUCCUGCUCCAGCAUCAGAUGAGAUGUGCAGGGAACUGUGGACUGCCUGUGUGUAGCGGCACAAGUGCACAUCGAGCCCUCCACUGUGUGGAGCGCUGUUUCCCCCAACACACCCAGUCACCCUGUGAGGUUGGCAACAGGGUUGGCACCAUUAGCUCCUCCAUUUUGUAGCUGAGAAACUGAAGCUCAGAGAGUAACUUUCCCUAAGUCACAUGCUAGUAAGUGCCUGGCAGAGGUUUGUACCAAGGCUCACUCAUGCCUAAUCGUGAUGAGGUGGUCAUCUCCUAAAUGUCAUUACAGUUUGCAU
This 1356-nucleotide long non-coding RNA is filed under the name Homo sapiens (human). RNAcentral describes it as "HSALNT0242988". The record is from RNAcentral. Lineage: Eukaryota; Metazoa; Chordata; Mammalia; Primates; Hominidae.